RNAcentral lists this ribosomal RNA (468 nucleotides) under uncultured bacterium. RNAcentral describes it as "partial 16S ribosomal RNA". It matches the Rfam family "Bacterial small subunit ribosomal RNA", at positions 28 to 507 of the family's 1533-position model. The record is from RNAcentral.
GACGAACGCUGGCGGCGUGCUUAACACAUGCAAGUCGAACGGAAAGGCCCUGCUUUUGUGGGGUGCUCGAGUGGCGAACGGGUGAGUAGCACGUGAGUAACCUGCCCUUGACUUUGGGAUAACUUCAGGAAACUGGGGCUAAUACCGGAUAGGAGCUCCUGCUGCAUGGUGGGGGUUGGAAAGUUUCGGCGGUUGGGGAUGGACUCGCGGGUUAUCAGCUUGUUGGUGGGGUAGUGGCUUACCAAGGCUUUGACGGGUAGCCGGCCUGAGAGGGUGACCGGCGACAUUGGGACUGAGAUACGGCGCAGAAGCCUACGGGAGGCAGCAGUGGGGAAUAUUGCGCAAUGGGCGGAAGCCUGAUGCAGCAACGCCGCGUGCGGGAUGACGGCCUUCGGGUUGUAAACCGCUUUCGCCUGUGACGAAGCGUGAGUGACGGUAAUGGGUAAAGAAGCACCGGCUAACUACGUG